RNAcentral lists this ribosomal RNA (253 nucleotides) under uncultured bacterium. RNAcentral describes it as "partial 16S ribosomal RNA". It matches the Rfam family "Bacterial small subunit ribosomal RNA", at positions 524 to 776 of the family's 1533-position model. The record is from RNAcentral.
UACGGAGGGUGCAAGCGUUAUCCGGAUUCACUGGGUUUAAAGGGUGCGUAGGUGGCUUUGUAAGUCAGUGGUGAAAGCCCGGGGCUCAACUCCGGAACUGCCAUUGAUACUGCUUAGCUUGAAUCAGGUCGAGGUGGAUGGAAUGUGACAUGUAGCGGUGAAAUGCUUAGAUAUGUUACAGAACACCGAUUGCGAAGGCAGUUCACUAGGCCUGUAUUGACACUGAGGCACGAAAGCGUGGGGAUCAAACAGG